AAGUCGUAACAAGGUUUCCGUAGGUGAACCUGCGGAAGGAUCAUUAUCACGUAUCCACGUAUAAACCAUUGUGAACUGUGUCAACCUUUGGAGGGAACUGUGUGGAAUGUAUUGUUUCUUAAAGUGAUUUAAGCAAUCUUUCACAUGCUCUACUGUUCUCUCUGAAGUGUAUUUUCUUAAAUCACUUUACAUUAACCCUUUAAACCUAUUCUUUUAAAACUCUGAACUAAUUCAUUUCUUACUCUUCGGAGAAGAAAUAUUUUACGAAACUAAAGAACAACUCUUAGCAACGGAUAUCUUGGUUCUC
RNAcentral lists this unclassified non-coding RNA (307 nucleotides) under fungal sp. RNAcentral describes it as "partial internal transcribed spacer region". The stretch from base 1 to 46 matches the Rfam family "Eukaryotic small subunit ribosomal RNA", at positions 1786 to 1831 of the family's 1831-position model. The record is from RNAcentral. Lineage: Eukaryota; Fungi.